AGAGUUUGAUCCUGGCUCAGAACGAACGCUAGCGGUAGGCCUAACACAUGCAAGUCGAACGGGCAUAUAGCUUGGCUUGCCAAGUUGUAUGUCAGUGGCAGACGGGUGAGUAAUACAUAGGAAUCUACCUGACAGUAAGGAAUAGUCACUAGAAAUGGUGAGUAAUACCAUAUACGCCCUGAGGGGGAAAGAUUUAUCGCUGUCAGAUGAGCCUAUGUUGGAUUAGCUAGUUGGUGAGGUAAAUGCUCACCAAGGCAACGAUCCAUAGCUGGCCUGAGAGGGUGAACAGCCACACUGGAACUGAGAUACGGUCCAGACUCCUACGGGAGGCAGCAGUGGGGAAUAUUGGGCAAUGGGCGAAAGCCUGACCCAGCCAUACCGCAUGAGUGAUGAAGGCCUUCGGGUUGUAAAGCUCUUUUAGUGGGGAAGAGAAUGACGGUACCCACAGAAAAAGUCCUGGCUAACUCCGUG
This 471-nucleotide ribosomal RNA is filed under the name uncultured bacterium. RNAcentral's name for it is "bacterial SSU rRNA". It matches the Rfam family "Bacterial small subunit ribosomal RNA", at positions 8 to 507 of the family's 1533-position model. The record is from RNAcentral.